RNAcentral lists this long non-coding RNA (1610 nucleotides) under Equus caballus (horse). RNAcentral describes it as "lncRNA (ENSECAG00000055305.1)". Lineage: Eukaryota; Metazoa; Chordata; Mammalia; Perissodactyla; Equidae. The record is from RNAcentral.
GUAGACUUACUGAGUAUACUCAAUUCCCCAUCAUAUGGGGACAAGUAAACUAUAAUGAGGAUAGAAAAAGACAAUGAGCUUUGGAAAAAAAUUAAAAUUACCUAGGAGUUGACAAAAAGCACCUACUCACUGGAAGGCUUCUAUCGUUGGGCACUACCUGGGAAUGGCAGACCCCCAUGCUGGAUCGAACACAACCUGAGAAUGCUCCUCCCUGGCCAACCGGAAAUACAACUUAUCCAAAUAGAGCUUGUUUUCUCAACCCACAGCCCCUCUGGAGAACAAGGCAGUGACCUAUUUCCACGUAUAGCAGCCUGUGUGGCCAGAGGUCCCAUUCCAUUCAGCCAUGUGAGACACAGAAUUGGCUAGACAAAGCUUCAGGGUCACAACAUUCAAGGAGAGAACAGCUCCAGCCGCUUCCACGUGGGCAGCCACUGCUGUUCACUUUCAAGAUUCCACCACAUUUGUGACUCAACCUGUUUCUACUACUUUUGCUGCCACCGACUGAUGGACUCCCUCCACAGACCUUUCAUCCAGAUUCCCCAAGAGAGAGGAUCUGAUUGGCUGGGGACUGCCCAACCUCUCAAUCUGGAACAGCAGGUCUCCUGAGCCAAGUAAAGCAGUGAAAGGACGGAGCAGUCUUUCAGUCGGCCUUCCUAAGGAAAGAGACUUGCAUGGAGGCCCAUAGAAGCAAGGGGCACACAAAACGAGCUUCAGGUGCUUCAUUCCCCUCUUCCAGACACAGAACAUGACAGGCUUAGAGGGAUAUGCCCAAAGGAACAGGGCUAUUCUCUGCACAACCACCUCACAUGCAGCCAGGCAAAGCCAAUCAAACCAGAGCCACCACAUGGGUGACACUAAUGGUGUGUGCCCUUUGCCACGUACGACACUGCUCCCCAGGCAGCAUCUCACUUAAAUCCUCAAAAGAACACCAUGACGUGAGUGUGCUGGUCAUCCUACUGCUCAGAUGAAAAACUAAGGCUUAGAGAGGGUGCCCUGACCUGCCCAAGGGUGCACCAGCCCUAGCUGGUUAAGCCGGGGUUUGAACCCAGGAAGUCAGCCUUCAAGUCCAGGCUCACUAAGCACUCUGUAGUCCCCACUGGCAAUCUGCUGAGUGGAUGAACUCAGCCUUUGGCUUCCUUGCCUUAAUCUCAGAGGCAUUAGAGCAAAUGCCCCACUUGGGGCUACCAGGCCCCGGCCCCAUGAGCCUCUGCUGCACAAGCCGCUUCCCCAUCGGUGCACAGCCUCUGGUCCCCAGAGUCCUGCAGUGGAUUCCACAGGGUUAUCUAAGGCUAGAGAGAAGUGAGCUGCAGACUCUUUUGUUCCCUGGAUCUCUUUGUCCAUCUUCCUACACCAGCACCAGAUGGCCUGUGAGGAUCAAAAGAAAGGCUCUGGAGACAUCCUCAUGCCGAGCAAUCUGUGUUUUGCUGCUUCGUUUGGAUUCUCGGAUCUGUAUUAUGUGUGAGAACCUGCCAGGAACACUCCAGGAAUUUAGCUCAGAGACAAGACUGAAGUGACUAGAAAAUAGAGGUCGUGAUGUCCACUGUCCCUCAAACUGGACUUCUUCCAUUAGUUCUUUUAAUUUUAAAGCAGUGUUAGUACAUUUGUACCUG